RNAcentral lists this ribosomal RNA (459 nucleotides) under uncultured bacterium. RNAcentral describes it as "partial 16S ribosomal RNA". It matches the Rfam family "Bacterial small subunit ribosomal RNA", at positions 338 to 795 of the family's 1533-position model. The record is from RNAcentral.
CCUACGGGUGGCAGCAGUGAGGAAUAUUGGUCAAUGGCCGGAAGGCUGAACCAGCCAUGCCGCGUGAAGGUCAGUGCCCUAUGGGCGUUAAACUUCUUUUAUAAAGGAAUAAAACGAGGCACGUGUGCCUUUUUGCAUGUACUUUAUGAAUAAGGAUCGGCUAACUCCGUGCCAGCAGCCGCGGUAAUACGGAGGAUCCGAGCGUUAUCCGGAUUUAUUGGGUUUAAAGGGAGCGUAGAUGGGUUGUUAAGUCAGUUGUGAAAGUUUGCGGCUCAACCGUAAAAUUGCAAUUGAUACUGGCAGUCUUGAGUACAGUUGAGGUAGGCGGAAUUCGUGGUGUAGCGGUGAAAUGCUUAGAUAUCACGAAGAACCCCGAUUGCGAAGGCAGCUUACUAAACUGUGACUGACAUUGAUGCUCGAAAGUGUGGGUAUCAAACAGGAUUAGAUACCCCAGUAGUC